Small nuclear RNA from Vulpes vulpes (red fox), 110 nucleotides. The record is from Ensembl. Lineage: Eukaryota; Metazoa; Chordata; Mammalia; Carnivora; Canidae.
CUGUUGUAAAAAUAAGAUAGUAUUUCUAAAAUUGGAACGGUAGAGAGAAGAUCCGCGUGGAUGCUGCGCGAGGCUGACACGCAAACACAAGACAGUAUUUCUAGAGCUAU